Molecule: ribosomal RNA, 468 nt
Filed under: uncultured bacterium
Lineage: Bacteria
Description: partial 16S ribosomal RNA
Rfam family: Bacterial small subunit ribosomal RNA
Source: RNAcentral
GACGAACGCUGGCGGCGUGCUUAACACAUGCAAGUCGAACGGAAAGGCCCUGCUUUUGUGGGGUGCUCGAGUGGCGAACGGGUGAGUAACACUUGAGUAACCUGCCCUUGACUUUGGGAUAACUUCAGGAAACUGGGGCUAAUACCGGAUAGGAGCUCCUGCUGCAUUGUGGGGGUUGGAAAGUUUCGGCGGUUGGGGAUGGACUCGCGGCUUAUCAGCUUGUUUGUGGGGUAGUGGCUUACCAAGGCUUUGACGGGUAGCCGGCCUGAGAGGGUGACCGGCAACAUUGGGACUGAGAUACGGCCCAGACUCCUACGGGAGGCAGCAGUGGGGAAUAUUGCACAAUGGGCGGAAGCCUGAUGCAGCAACGCCGCGUGCGGGAUGACGGCCUUCGGGUUGUAAACCGCUUUCGCCUGUGACGAAGCGUGAGUGACGGUAAUGGGUAAAGAAGCACCGGCUAACUACGUG